This 487-nucleotide ribosomal RNA is filed under the name uncultured bacterium. RNAcentral's name for it is "partial 16S ribosomal RNA". It matches the Rfam family "Bacterial small subunit ribosomal RNA", at positions 33 to 507 of the family's 1533-position model. The record is from RNAcentral.
ACGCUGGCGGUAGGCCUAACCCAUGCAAGUCGAACGGCAGCACAGUAAGAGCUUGCUCUUACGGGUGGCGAGUGGCGGACGGGUGAGGAAUACAUCGGAAUCUACUUUUUCGUGGGGGAUAACGUAGGGAAACUUACGCUAAUACCGCAUACGACCUACGGGUGAAAGCAGGGGAUCUUCGGACCUUGCGCGAUUGAAUGAGCCGAUGUCGGAUUAGCUAGUUGGCGGGGUAAAGGCCCACCAAGGCGACGAUCCGUAGCUGGUCUGAGAGGAUGAUCAGCCACACUGGAACUGAGACACGGUCCAGACUCCUACGGGAGGCAGCAGUGGGGAAUAUUGGACAAUGGGCGCAAGCCUGAUCCAGCCAUACCGCGUGGGUGAAGAAGGCCUUCGGGUUGUAAAGCCCUUUUGUUGGGAAAGAAAAGCAGCAGGUUAAUACCCCGCUGUUCUGACGGUACCCAAAGAAUAAGCACCGGCUAACUUCGUG